This 158-nucleotide ribosomal RNA is filed under the name Plasmodium falciparum (malaria parasite P. falciparum). Its description in RNAcentral is "partial small subunit ribosomal RNA". The record is from RNAcentral. Lineage: Eukaryota; Apicomplexa; Aconoidasida; Haemosporida; Plasmodiidae.
CAAAUAAGGUUUUCUAAUAAAUUAUGUUUUUAUCAGAUAUGACAGAAUCUUUUUUAAAAUCUCUUCAAUAUGCUUUUAUUGCUUUUGAGAGGUUUUGUUACUUUGAGUAAAAUUAAGUGUUCAUAACAGACGGGUAGUCAUGAUUGAGUUCAUUGUGU